GGGUAAGGGUAGUUGUUUGGGAGAUCCUGAGCAGAAUUAGGAUGACCACAUGUGACAGAAAAAAAUCUCAAAGUACUUUAGAGAAUUCAGAUACUUGCUUUUAGUAUAAAUAGCUUAGCAUAUGGCAUCUACAAAAGUCUUGCAAUCACUGAUAGUAUAAUUAGUGAUUAAAUGUUAGUGCUUAAAUUAUUAGACUGCAAUUAGGUAAAGCCAGAUUCUGGCCUAGAGUCAGCCAAGAAAGUUCUUUUAGUAAUUUGGAGUAGUACAAAUAUAUAAGGUUUCAAAAGAAAAUAGAGAAAUAAAAAAAAGGCUAAAUGAGAGAAGAAUUGCCUCUCUCAGGCUACUUCAAGAGGGUUGCUGCUGUGAGAAUGAAAAAAGACAGGCCUCCACAGAAACUGCCUUGACUGAGGAAAUAGUGGAAUCUAAAUCUAAUAAAAUAAUAAUUAGUAGCCGUGUUUGAAUAGUACCUGGUGCUGAAAACUUGAAUUGUUCUGACUUUUCACUAAGAAUCACUACCAAUCUCACAUUCUUGUCAUUUUUUUUAGGUUCAAUGGAACUGGAAUCUUUGCCAAGUUACAUCUUAUAUGAGAGUCAGUUCCUGGAGUGGGGGAAACAAUUCAACUCCUGCUGAUUUGAAUAUAUAAAGAAGCCCUGGAUAUAUAAAAAUUGCUGAUAAUGGAGACUUACUUUCACUUCCUUCAAAAAAUGUAUAAUGAUAUAAUUGCUGGUGCUUUGUUCGCCCAAGAUAGUUACAGUUGUGCAGCUCUUCUAAACCCAUCGGCUUUUUCAUCAGCAAAAAAUUGUGAAUUAUGUGCCUGUCAUUUUUUUUCUAAGUUGGAUGCUGAGAUUCCUUCCGGUCUAGACCCAAUAAACAAAGGACAUGAUAUUUCUAAAAACCUUAGCCAUCUGAAGUGCCAUGCACGGGAAAUUAUUCUGCUUCAGUUAACUUUGAUCGAGAUGGUGCUUGCCAAACUGCAGCUGCAAGGGGUGGCUACUGAAAUAAAACCCAAAUACAUUGAGAUCCUGAGAAUCCUGGAAGAAUCGAAUAUUGUCGCUGAAUUGAUUCAUCUGCUACGUAGUUCAGAUAAACAGCUCUCUCACAUGGCUUCUAAAAAUUUGGCUUCCCUUGUGCAUUUCCAGCUAACAGAAGAGGUAAGUCAGAAACUGAGCUUUGUAGUUACGGUUUAGCCAAAUGUAUCUGCUUUGUGGUUUUGUUUUUACUUCAAAUACACAUGUAAUAAUAGCUUAUGUUGGAAGAAAUAUCCUUCUGGGUUCAGUUCCAAGUGGAGAAAAAGACACUGGAAACAUGGGGGCUGUUUGGAAAGAUGGCUUAAUGGUGGGCAG
Molecule: long non-coding RNA, 1344 nt
Filed under: Pseudonaja textilis
Lineage: Eukaryota; Metazoa; Chordata; Lepidosauria; Squamata; Elapidae
Description: lncRNA (ENSPTXG00000005029.1)
Source: RNAcentral